Anguilla anguilla (European eel) is the source of this 836-nucleotide long non-coding RNA. RefSeq lists it as uncharacterized. The transcript has 3 exons. The record is from RefSeq and is a predicted model, not a curated record. NCBI's taxonomy places the organism in Eukaryota, Metazoa, Chordata, Actinopteri, Anguilliformes, Anguillidae.
CAGAACCAUCUUCUGUUCAGGAGUCCGGAUACAAAAAGAGACCACUAACUACUAUCUCUGUCUGCAGCAAAAACGUGCUAUUCCAUACUGUCACACACUUAAGUGCAACCCAGCUGAUUUGCUGGAUCUCUAGGAUUAGGAUUGAGGGGACACCGUUGUAGAUGGGAGGUCUUGUAUAUCUGUUGCUGUGAGGGCACUGUGGAUUGUCAACUGAGAGAAGAGAUGGGUGUGAGCUGAAGCCUGAUUGAAACACAUCUCAUCAUGUGAAACAACAGCCAAUCAUAAUCUCAUCAUCUACAUCACAAUCAAUUGUUUGGUCAAUGAAAAGCGGACAAGUUGAUCGUGGAAAGCAAAACCUAAACAAAUGUUGGAGUGAUGUAGGCAGUGCAGCUCAUCUGGAAGAGGGAUACUGGGAACUAAGUGAAUAAUUGCUUUCAGAGAGGCCCAUACCCCCAGCAGCCCACUGUAGACAGACUGCUGGGUCUGCUUUUCAGCAUGCAGCAGAAUGACAAAAAAAAGGAAACUUGGAGAUGUCAUCUGCUUUCAGGCUUAAGUGUGAUCCCUUCUAAAUGUUUUUACCAGAAAGAAACCCACAGGGAUUCGAGAACUAGCUUUCUAAGGAGUCUCAGGGAGGUAUUGAGAAAACUUGCGGCUUCUCACAUUUCACUUUUCCCAAAGAGACGAACAAAUAGCUGAAUUCAGUAAACAGCUAUGUGUGAAUUUGAAGGGAUUUUGAGGUGUAACAGAAUUUGCACACUAAUUUAUUAUUUAGCUAGAAUUUGGUAAGGAGCAAAAGAAAUACAGUGGAAAAAUAAAUCUGGGGAUUGAGCAACCAA